RNAcentral lists this ribosomal RNA (332 nucleotides) under uncultured Ruminococcus sp. RNAcentral's name for it is "partial 16S ribosomal RNA". The record is from RNAcentral. Lineage: Bacteria; Bacillati; Bacillota; Clostridia; Eubacteriales; Oscillospiraceae.
GGAGUCUGGGCCGUAUCUCAGUCCCAAUGUGGCCGUUCAACCUCUCAGUCCGGCUACUGAUCGUCGGCUUGGUGGGCCGUUACCCCACCAACUACCUAAUCAGACGCGAGGCCAUCUCAGAGCGAUAAAUCUUUGGUAUCCCUACCAUGCGAUAAAGAUACGUUAUGCGGUAUUAGCACCCCUUUCGGGAUGUUGUCCCCGUCUGAAGGGCAGGUUGCCUACGCGUUACUCACCCGUUCGCCACUAGGGUUCUACCGAAGCAAAACCCCCGUUCGACUUGCAUGUGUUAGGCACGCCGCCAGCGUUCGUCCUGAGCCACGGAUCAAACUACU